AACGUACGCUGGCGGCACGCCUAACACAUGCAAGUCGAACGAAGUAGCAAUACUUAGUGGCAGACGGGUGAGUAACAUGUAGGUAUCUGCCCUUUGGCCUGGAAUAACACGAGGAAACUUGUGCUAAUACCGGAUAAGUCUUUACGGAGAAAGCUUUAUGCACCAUUGGAUGAGCCUGCACUUGAUUAGUUUGUUGGUGGGGUAAUGGCCUACCAAGACUGUGAUCAAUAGCUGAUUUGAGAGGAUGAUCAGCCACAUUGGGACUGAGACACGGCCCAAACUCCUACGGGAGGCAGCAGUGGGGAAUCUUGCACAAUGGAGGAAACUCUGAUGCAGCGAUGCCGCGUGAGUGAAGAAGGCCCUUGGGUUGUAAAGCUCUUUCGUCGGGGAAGAAAAUGACUGUACCCGAAUAAGAAGGUCCGGCUAACUUCGUGCCAGCAGCCGCGGUAAUACGAAGGGACCUAGCGUAGUUCGGAAUUACUGGGCUUAAAGAGUUCGUAGGUGGUUGAAAAAGUUAGUGGUGAAAUCCCAGAGCUUAACUCUGGAACUGCCAUUAAAACUUUUCAGCUAGAGUAUGAUAGAGGAAAGCAGAAUUUCUAGUGUAGAGGUGAAAUUCGUAGAUAUUAGAAAGAAUACCAAUUGCGAAGGCAGCUUUCUGGAUCAUUACUGACACUGAGGAACGAAAGCAUGGGUAGCGAAGAGGAUUAGAUACCCUCGUAGUCCAUGCCGUAAACGAUGUGUGUUAGACGUUGGAAAUUUAUUUUCAGUGUCGCAGCGAAAGCGAUAAACACACCGCCUGGGGAGUACGACCGCAAGGUUAAAACUCAAAUGAAUUGACGGGGACCCGCACAAGUAGUGGAGCAUGUGGUUUAAUUCGAAGAUACGCGCAGAACCUUACCAACACUUGACAUGUUCGUCGCGACUCUAAGAGAUUAGAGUUUUCGGUUCGGCCGGACGAAACACAGGUGCUGCAUGGCUGUCGUCAGCUCGUGUCGUGAGAUGUUGGGUUAAGUCCCGCAACGAGCGCAACCCUCACUUUUAGUUGCCAUCAUUAAGUUGGGCACUCUGAAAGAACUGCCAGUGAUAAGCUGGAGGAAGGUGGGGAUGACGUCAAGUCCUCAUGGCCCUUACGUGUUGGGCUACACACGUGCUACAAUGGUAUCUACAACAGGAAGCAAGACUGCGAGGUCAAGCAAAUCCUUAAAAGAUACCUCAGUUCGGAUUGCACUCUGCAACUCGAGUGCAUGAAGCUGGAAUUACUAGUAAUCGUGGAUCAGCGUGCCACGGUGAAUGCGUUCCCGGGUCU
This 1306-nucleotide ribosomal RNA is filed under the name uncultured bacterium. Its description in RNAcentral is "bacterial SSU rRNA". It matches the Rfam family "Bacterial small subunit ribosomal RNA", at positions 28 to 1381 of the family's 1533-position model. The record is from RNAcentral.